GAUGAAGAACGCAGCGAAAUGCGAUAAGUAAUGUGAAUUGCAGAAUUCAGUGAAUCAUCGAAUCUUUGAACGCACAUUGCGCCCGCCAGCAUUCUGGCGGGCAUGCCUGUUCGAGCGUCAUUUCAACCCUCGACUUCCCUUUGGGGAAAUCGGCGUUGGGGACCGGCUGUAUACCGCCGGCCCCGAAAUGAAGUGGCGGCCCGUCCGCGGCGACCUCUGCGUAGUAAUCCAACUCGCACCGGAACCCCGACGUGGCCACGCCGUAAAACCCCCGACUUCUGAACGUUGACCUCGGAUCAGGUAGGAAUACCCGCUGAACUUAAGCAUAUCAAUAAGCGGAGGA
Molecule: unclassified non-coding RNA, 343 nt
Filed under: soil metagenome
Description: partial contains 5.8S ribosomal RNA, internal transcribed spacer 2, and large subunit ribosomal RNA
Rfam family: 5.8S ribosomal RNA (bases 1-120)
Source: RNAcentral